UUUUGGGCCGAGAUACAUAUUCCGUUUGGGCCGAUAUACAUGUAGUAUAUGUUUGUUUAUAUUUUGAUUUUUUUGGACAGAUUUUUAAGUCCAACUUUGGUCUUAUCGUCUUUAUACUGCCCUGGAGAACAAAAAAAAAAAAAAAAAAAACUAUGCCCUAAAGUUCUCAGCCGAUUGUUUGUAAAAGGAAUCGAUUUGCAAAAUUGUUAGAUAACCAAGAUACUACGUCUCUGUUUAUCAUUUGUUAAUCUGAAUCUAUAAAGAGAAUUUUAUGUUUGUACAGAGAUCUUGAAAAAUGAUUGUGAAGAAAACGUUCUUAUAUGGAUAAUUACAAAAAUGAUGAUGUUGCCAAAAGAAGAAAGACAAAGAUAAGUUUUCUGAAAUGAUUAUGA
Arabidopsis lyrata subsp. lyrata is the source of this 392-nucleotide long non-coding RNA. RefSeq lists it as uncharacterized. Lineage: Eukaryota; Viridiplantae; Streptophyta; Magnoliopsida; Brassicales; Brassicaceae. The record is from RefSeq and is a predicted model, not a curated record. The transcript has 3 exons.